Molecule: transfer RNA, 76 nt
Filed under: Kribbella albertanoniae
Lineage: Bacteria; Bacillati; Actinomycetota; Actinomycetes; Propionibacteriales; Kribbellaceae
Description: tRNA-Arg
Rfam family: tRNA
About the family: Transfer RNA (tRNA) molecules are approximately 80 nucleotides in length.
Source: RNAcentral
GCCCCCAUAGCUCAGGGGAUAGAGCGUCGGUUUCCUAAACCGUGCGUCGCAGGUUCGAAUCCUGCUGGGGGCACCG